Molecule: transfer RNA, 73 nt
Filed under: Haliotis rufescens (red abalone)
Lineage: Eukaryota; Metazoa; Mollusca; Gastropoda; Lepetellida; Haliotidae
Description: tRNA-Arg
Rfam family: tRNA
About the family: Transfer RNA (tRNA) molecules are approximately 80 nucleotides in length. Their secondary structure includes four short double-helical elements and three loops (D, anti-codon, and T loops). Further hydrogen bonds mediate the characteristic L-shaped molecular structure. tRNAs have two regions of fundamental functional importance: the anti-codon, which is responsible for specific mRNA codon recognition, and the 3' end, to which the tRNAs corresponding amino acid is attached (by aminoacyl-tRNA synthetases). tRNAs cope with the degeneracy of the genetic code in two manners: having more than one tRNA (with a specific anti-codon) for a particular amino acid; and 'wobble' base-pairing, i.e. permitting non-standard base-pairing at the 3rd anti-codon position.
Source: RNAcentral
GUCCCUGUAGCGCAGCGGAUAGCGCGCUGGACUUCUAAUCCAGAGGCCUCGGGUUCGAAUUCCACCAGGGAUG